This 479-nucleotide ribosomal RNA is filed under the name uncultured bacterium. RNAcentral describes it as "partial 16S ribosomal RNA". It matches the Rfam family "Bacterial small subunit ribosomal RNA", at positions 28 to 522 of the family's 1533-position model. The record is from RNAcentral.
GACGAACGCUGGCGGCGUGCUUAACACAUGCAAGUCGAACGGAAAGGCCCUUCGGGGGUACUCGAGUGGCGAACGGGUGAGUAACACGUGGGUGAUCUGCCCUGCACUUUGGGAUAAGCCUGGGAAACUGGGUCUAAUACCGGAUAGGACUACGCGAUGCAUGUCGUGUGGUGGAAAGCUUUUGCGGUGUGGGAUGGGCCCGCGGCCUAUCAGCUUGUUGGUGGGGUGAUGGCCUACCAAGGCGACGACGGGUAGCCGGCCUGAGAGGGUGACCGGCCACACUGGGACUGAGAUACGGCCCAGACUCCUACGGGAGGCAGCAGUGGGGAAGAUUGCACAAUGGGCGCAAGCCUGAUGCAGCGACGCCGCGUGAGGGAUGACGGCCUUCGGGUUGUAAACCUCUUUCAGCUCCGACGAAGCGCAAGUGACGGUAGGAGUAGAAGAAGGACCGGCCAACUACGUGCCAGCCGCCGCCGGUA